ACCAUUUCAACCUCUCUCUGUCCAAGUCUGUAAUACCAACAUGUUUUAAGCAGACCACCAUAGUGCCUGUGCCCAAGAACACUAAGAUUCUUGGUUCGACACAACCCAAGAUGAUGAACCAUGAAGAUGGGAUAAAGUGCAUGACAAAGUGGCCCAGAGGAAGCCAGCUGUUCUCAACCCUUACUGUACAUUUCCCCGCUCUUCCAAGAGCUCACUGAGCUCUCUUGAAUUAAAACCUCUAGUGAGGGGUGAGAAGAGCUGACAAAUCAGAACUGAGGAGGAUUGUUACAGAGCCCCAUGAGGAACACAUGAUGCUACGCUGACUUCUCUCUCCUGGAUGCACUCCUGCCCAAACUGUCCCAUUGUGUGUUUCACCACCUCGGAACCCCCUUCUCCAGAAUAGAUUUGCCCCUGAUGAAAGAGCUAGGAUUGUACCCAAUCCCAAUUUUAACUCCAUCUCCUCUCUCUUUGUCUCUCGCUCCCCCACACCCACCACACACAGGCACACAAUAUAAUUAGUGUUGUAAUGAUGC
Molecule: long non-coding RNA, 533 nt
Filed under: Salmo salar (Atlantic salmon)
Lineage: Eukaryota; Metazoa; Chordata; Actinopteri; Salmoniformes; Salmonidae
Description: lncRNA (ENSSSAG00000102215.1)
Source: RNAcentral